CAGAGGAGCCAAGCGUUGUCCGGAUUGACUGGGCGUAAAGCGCACGCAGGUGGUCGUGCAAGUGUCGUGUGAAAGCAGCUCGCUCAACGAGCUGAGGCAUGGCAGACUGCAUAACUCGAGCCCGUGAGAGGUCGGUGGAAUUGCCGGUGUAGUGGUGAAAUGCGUAGAGAUCGGCAGGAACACCCAGGGGGAAACCAGCCGACUGGCACGGUGCUGACACUGAGGUGCGAGAGCGUGGGGAGCAAACGGGAUUAGAUACCCCGGUAGUCCACGCCGUAAACGAUGGAUACUCGCCUUAUGGCGGCUCAAUGCCGUUGUGGGCCAAGUUAACACGCUAAGUAUCCCGCCUGGGAACUACGAGCGCAAGCUUA
Molecule: ribosomal RNA, 371 nt
Filed under: uncultured organism
Description: bacterial SSU rRNA
Rfam family: Bacterial small subunit ribosomal RNA
Source: RNAcentral